CUCUAGGAUUCGGAUUGCAGAUUGACAAGAGAAGAGGUGAAUAACUCUUGGGUUGCAGAGAAGAGGCAGUUCAUCAUUCAAUCAACAUCACUCUACAAGCUCUACAACCAAGUACUUAACGAACCGGAAGUUCACACAUAAACAUUGAACCGGAAGUUCACACAUAAACAUUGAACCAAAAGUUCAUACAUAAAUGUUGAACCAGAAGUUCACAUGUAUCGAACCUGUAGUUUCGACAACACUGAAAGAUUAUGAACCUUUCCAAGUAGGCUCAUCCAACUAGAUGCGAUGUCUAGACCAGCUUGAGCCCAGCAGGCCCAUUUUCCUUCCGCAAGACCGAGCAGCCCAACAGGCCUCACACACUAUUUGACUAAUGCAUGAAAGCCUGGGUCACGAGCUUGCAGCUAAGCCCCGUACGUAGGCUUUAUUAUCAAGCCCACUCUUUCUUUGGUCCAGUAGAACCAAAUAAAAGGAAAAAUGAUUUGAUUCUACUGAGAUUUGAACUCAGACAACGUCCAUGUCAUUAUGGCUAUUGUAAAUAAAUUCACCAUAUUUCAUAUGUGUAAUUAAU
Molecule: long non-coding RNA, 571 nt
Organism: Rosa chinensis
Lineage: Eukaryota; Viridiplantae; Streptophyta; Magnoliopsida; Rosales; Rosaceae
Exons: 3
Source: RefSeq, a predicted model, not a curated record